Molecule: ribosomal RNA, 46 nt
Filed under: Thauera chlorobenzoica
Lineage: Bacteria; Pseudomonadati; Pseudomonadota; Betaproteobacteria; Rhodocyclales; Zoogloeaceae
Description: 23S rRNA. Bacterial LSU
Source: RNAcentral
AACACGUUCAGCUAACCGGUACUAAUUGCCCGUGCGGCUUGAUCCU